Molecule: ribosomal RNA, 301 nt
Filed under: uncultured bacterium
Lineage: Bacteria
Description: partial 16S ribosomal RNA
Rfam family: Bacterial small subunit ribosomal RNA
Source: RNAcentral
CAGUAGCCACGGUAAUACAGAGGAUGCAAGCGUUGUCCGGAAUUAUUGGGCGUAAAGGGCUCGCAGGCGGUUUCUUAAGUCUGAUGUGAAAGCCCCCGGCUCAACCGGGGAGGGUCAUUGGAAACUGGGAAACUUGAGUGCAGAAGAGGAGAGUGGAAUUCCACAUGUAGCGGUGAAAUGCGUAGAGAUGUGGAGGAACACCAGUGGCGAAGGCGACUCUCUGGUCUGUAACUGACGCUGAGGAGCGAAAGCGUGGGGAGCGAACAGGAUUAGAUACCCGGGUAGUCCCUGUCUCUUAUAC